This 261-nucleotide unclassified non-coding RNA is filed under the name uncultured fungus. Its description in RNAcentral is "partial contains 5.8S ribosomal RNA, internal transcribed spacer 2, and large subunit ribosomal RNA". The stretch from base 1 to 52 matches the Rfam family "5.8S ribosomal RNA", at positions 103 to 154 of the family's 154-position model. The record is from RNAcentral. Lineage: Eukaryota; Fungi.
AACGCACAUUGCGCCCGCCAGUAUUCUGGCGGGCAUGCCUGUCCGAGCGUCAUUUCAACCCUCAGAUCUCCUUUACGGAGAACUGGCGUUGGGGACCGGCCCUCCUUGCGGGGGCCGCCUCCGAAAUAUAGUGGCGGUCUCGCCGCAGCCUCCCCUGCGUAGUAGCACACCUCGCACCGGAGAGCGGCGCGGCCAUGCCGUAAAACCCCCCACUUUAUCAAGGUUGACCUCGGAUCAGGUAGGAAUACCCGCUGAACUUAA